UUUUGGGCUCCGUUUUGAUCGGGUGGGUCAGCUCGCACCAGGAGUCUGGUGAGUGGAGUUGUGAGUCUGACCCGGGGAUCCGAAUGCAAGCUGAGUUCAGGCCCGGACUUGUCACCCUCGAUGGUCGCGCCGACGAUUGGAAGGACAUUGAUGGCUUCGAAUUCUCUCUCCUUCCUGCUCUGGACCCGGAUGAGGAUAAAGAGUAUAAAGGUGGAAAAAUGACCGUUAAGGCCUUGCACGAUGGUAAAGAUGUGUUCUUCUUGUUGCAAGUCGAUGGGGACUAUGCCUACUCGAAAGGCAACAACAUUAAAUGCCCAUCUGUGGCCCUCAUGUUUCCAAUUGGUGACCAUGCUACCUAUCACAAUAUGGGUGGCUGUAAGGAAGGAACUAAUGCUUGCACCAACAAAACUUGCAAAGGCCAUGAAGUUGACAUUAUGCACUUUUCAAUUGGAAAUGCUAUUCCUGGACGGCUUUAUGGUGGGAAUCCGAUAGACAACAGAGAUGGAAAUGGUGGUGACAGGUUUGGCCAUUUGGUCGAUCUAUAUGCAUGGAAUCCACAUUGUAGAUAUAUUGAUGGAACUGGUCCUUCAGGAAAUUAUUCUAGUGCACAGAAUAAUUGGAAGGGGGCAUGGUGGCACAGUACCUUUACUGAUCACUCAGGUAACUCUUUCUCUUACAACCACCCCGCCCCUUCCUUUUCUGUCUUUCUCUAUGUCUGUCCAUCAUUUACUGGUUACUUGAAAGGAUAGUCUGUAUUAUUUAUAUGCGACCAAACUGUAAAAAAUUUUUGUUGUACAGUUGUGAAAAGGACUGACAUACAUGAGAGAGUCAAUCCAAAUGGUUCAUAUGCUUGAUUUGUGCAUACAAUCCACAGAAAUUCACUUGUGUGCUAUGUAUUCAUUUGCUUUUGAUUAAAUGCAUUUUACAAUAUCCAAUCACAAGGUUCAUUUUGUGUGAUUAAUGAUACUCAAGGAUGCUGUGUCCCCAAAGUGCAGUGAGUUGGAAAAGGAUGCUAGAAAGCACAAACACAUAUGGAUUUACUUUGUUAUGAAAUUUUAACCAAACAACAUUGACUUUGAGACAUGGAAGUUUCACUUUGGUUUCUGUGUCCCCAUUUGUGUUCUAUCUGUUUUUAGAUUUCUUGCUUGUGCUUUCAAGUGGACAAUGGUAUACCCUUUAUUUUCAUUCAUUUUCUUUUUGGAUCAAAUGUAAUUCUUUGUUCUCUAUGAUUUGAUAUUUAAUAUUUCACUAACAGCUUUUGUAGAGGAAGAUAGUCCCUAUGGUUCAGAUGGUCAAAAAGGCACUUAUUUUUUUGAAUUCUCUAGGCCUUUGAGAACCAUGGAUCGUUUCCAGCAGGUCAGUAACUCAUCUGCCAGAUUAGCCUAUCAUUUGAAAUUUUUGGAAUUUCAAAUUGUGCAUUUAGAAUUGGUUGCACCAACUAUUGCUCUCAUUUGGUUGCCUGCUGAGGAAAGUAGAUUAUAGCCUUGAAGUAUUAACAGCAAGUCUACUAGCAUGGCCACACUGUUGAUUCAUGGUUAUUAUCGCAUGAUAUUGUAUUUGGGAGAUGCUCAGACGAUCUCGACAAUUUGGAUUCUAAACUUUUGCUGGAAUCACUAUUGAGCUGUCUUGCUUCUUGUUGCCUACUAGUCAUUUACUGUACAUAUACUUUGACUGGAAUGCAUAUAUUGUCAGAACUUAUGUUGUGUGAUGGUACCAUUGUAGUGAUGGUACCAUUGUAUCGUUUAGACAACUUUGUAGUUAAAAGUAUUACCUUCCAGCAGCAGAGCUUGAAUGAGUUGUUUUCUCUAAAUUUCUGCAGGAUGCUCAGUUUACCAUUAGUGGAUCAAGCAAGAUGUCUGUUGCAUUCUGGUAUCCUGUUGAUGGGAAUCCAUGGCAUGGAUCUGGUCACUAUUCUGUCAACUGUGAUUGGAUACCCUUAGAUAUCUCUCCUGGCAGUUCAACAUUAACAACGUCAUCACCAGGCAGUUCGGUAGCUGUUGCAAGUGCCUUCGCCCUUUUAUUUUCAGUAGUGUCUGUAUGCCUCUCUGUUUUUGUGGGAUAUAGAGUUAUUAGACCUAGUGGUUUUACACCCAUGGGAACAACCAUGGAAAAUCUUUAGGAUAGCAGCUUGGGUCGGAGAUUGUACUGCUAGUUGAGGGUUGUCUUACUUAGUUUUGUAUUUUGAUCACUACCACAUAAUAAAAAUUUUAUAUUGCAAUUUCAUUGUUUGUUUAUUAUCACUUUUGUAAUGAUUUUUAUCACUUUGUCAUUCUUAGUUGAUGCUGCAUGUACUUGCUUAGAGGGCAUUUGUGACAUAACAAAUCUUUUUGUGUAUGAAGAAUCAGUGGAUGAGUAAAUGAGUAAUGCCAAGAGAUUGUUCCAAAA
RNAcentral lists this unclassified non-coding RNA (2385 nucleotides) under Hevea brasiliensis (rubber tree). Lineage: Eukaryota; Viridiplantae; Streptophyta; Magnoliopsida; Malpighiales; Euphorbiaceae. The record is from RNAcentral.